GGUGCCAGCAAUCAACACCCCCCGCCCCAGUCCCUGUCCAUGGCCUGUCCCUCCUGCGCCUCUGUCCACACCAGGAAGGAUAGGACGGGCUCCGUGGGCCUCUGUUCCAGCUGCCCCCUCUGCUGGCUGAGCUGCUCUGGUCUUCUGAGCAGGGGCUCCUGGAGGCUGGGCUGAGAAGUUUCCAACUCUGCCUGUGAAAACCUGAAUGAGAUCAGCAUCAUGUAGAAUGCUGGUGGUGUGGGUGAAUAGUGGAUAAGAAGGUGCCAAACAGAUGAUGACCUAGUGAUGGGUCUUCCUGGAGGAGAAACAUGGAUGCAUGAAGAUGGUGAAGAAUGCACAAGCAUGAGGACAUUUAGAGAAUGACAUGAAGGAUUGAUGGGUUAGGAUAUGGAGAUGCAGAAAUAGACUGGGUAAGAUUAAAAGCAACCUGGAAUUAGGACACCUGGGUGAUUCAGUUGGUUAAGCAUCUGAAUUCAGCUCAGGUCAUGAUCUCACAGUUCAUGGGUUUGA
Long non-coding RNA from Suricata suricatta (meerkat), 510 nucleotides. RefSeq lists it as uncharacterized. Lineage: Eukaryota; Metazoa; Chordata; Mammalia; Carnivora; Herpestidae. The transcript has 4 exons. The record is from RefSeq and is a predicted model, not a curated record.